Molecule: ribosomal RNA, 119 nt
Filed under: Anabas testudineus (climbing perch)
Lineage: Eukaryota; Metazoa; Chordata; Actinopteri; Anabantiformes; Anabantidae
Source: RNAcentral
GAUUAAAUGUAUAUCACUUUGAGCUCGCCCCAUCUUGUCCAAUCUCGGAAGCUUAGCACGGUCGGGCCUGGUUAGUACUUGGAUGGGAGACUGUCUGGGAAUACCAGGUGCUGUAAGUC